GAUGAAGAACGUAGCGAAAUGCGAUAAGUAAUGCGAAUUGCAGAAUUCAGUGAGUCAUCGAAUCUUUGAACGCACAUUGCGCCUGCCAGCACUCUGGCAGGCAUGCCUGUUCGAGCGUCAUUUCAACCAUCAAGCCCUAGGCUUGCGUUGGAGCCCUGCGGCUGCCGCAGGCCCCUAAAAGCAGUGGCGGGCUCGCUAUCACACCGAGUGCAGUAGAUUACUCUUCGCUCAGGGCGUGUGGCGGGUUCCAGCCGUGAAACCCCCUACUUCUCAAGGUUGACCUCGGAUCAGGUAGGAAUACCCGCUGAACUUAAGCAUAUCAAUAAGCGGAGGA
This 334-nucleotide unclassified non-coding RNA is filed under the name soil metagenome. RNAcentral describes it as "partial contains 5.8S ribosomal RNA, internal transcribed spacer 2, and large subunit ribosomal RNA". The stretch from base 1 to 120 matches the Rfam family "5.8S ribosomal RNA", at positions 35 to 154 of the family's 154-position model. The record is from RNAcentral.